AGUGUACAGUGUAUAUAUCAACUAGUAUCAACUGCUAAAGGAUGUCAUGUAAUAUUUACUAAUACUAGUAAUGGAAGGAAGGAAUCAUUUAAUAUAACUGGAUCAAAUAAUACAAUAGUGUCUUUAGCCAGUGGAAACUAUACUGUAACUGUUUACGAUAUUGGUGAUGAUGGAGCAUUGUUUGGACCUGCUGUGCAAUACCCUGCACCAGUUGAAAUUUUUAAAAUUGCACCUUAUAUCUCUUCCUCUUCUAGUAAUCCACAUGAAAGCACUACUGAGUCUACGGUUAGUCCUACAAUCACUAAUACACCUGGAACUGAAACUGAAACUUCACCGACAAGUGGAACUAUUAAUGAUGCCAAUAAUGUUGUACCUAUUGUGGUUGGUAUACUCAGUGGUAUUGUACUAGUGAUCUUGAUCAUAUUAGUAGUAUGUGUUGGUAUCAUUGUUUAUAAGAGGAUGAAAGUACAAGU
Molecule: long non-coding RNA, 473 nt
Organism: Amphimedon queenslandica
Lineage: Eukaryota; Metazoa; Porifera; Demospongiae; Haplosclerida; Niphatidae
Exons: 3
Source: RefSeq, a predicted model, not a curated record